AAAAUCCGUCGACUUUAGAAAU
This 22-nucleotide transfer RNA is filed under the name Hybanthus concolor. RNAcentral's name for it is "partial tRNA-Leu". RNAcentral also lists the same sequence under 3 other names. The record is from RNAcentral. Lineage: Eukaryota; Viridiplantae; Streptophyta; Magnoliopsida; Malpighiales; Violaceae.